RNAcentral lists this ribosomal RNA (395 nucleotides) under uncultured soil bacterium. RNAcentral describes it as "bacterial SSU rRNA". It matches the Rfam family "Bacterial small subunit ribosomal RNA", at positions 26 to 449 of the family's 1533-position model. The record is from RNAcentral.
AGAACGAACGCUGGCGGCAUGCCUAAUACAUGCAAGUCGAACGAACUCUUCGGAGUUAGUGGCGCACGGGUGCGUAACGCGUGGGAAUCUGCCCCUUGGUUCGGAAUAACAGUUGGAAACGACUGCUAAUACCGGAUGAUGACGAAAGUCCAAAGAUUUAUCGCCAAGGGAUGAGCCCGCGUAGGAUUAGCUAGUUGGUGAGGUAAAGGCUCACCAAGGCAACGAUCCUUAGCUGGUCUGAGAGGAUGAUCAGCCACACUGGGGACUGAGACACGGCCCAGACUCCUACGGGAGGCAGCAGUAGGGAAUAUUGGACAAUGGGCGAAAGCCUGAUCCAGCAAUGCCGCGUGAGUGAUGAAGGCCUUAGGGUGUAAAGCUCUUUAAGUGGGAGGUAA